GGGAUUGCCUCAGUAACGGCGAGUGAAGCGGCAACAGCUCAAAUUUGAAAUCUGGCUCCUUCGGGGUCCGAGUUGUAAUUUGUAGAGAGUGUUUCGGGGGGGACCGCGGUCUAAGUCCAUUGGAACAUGGUGUCAUAGAGGGUGAGAAUCCCGUAUGUGACCGUGGAUCGAACCCAUGUGAAGCCUCUUCGACGAGUCGAGUUGUUUGGGAAUGCAGCUCAAAAUGGGUGGUAAAUUUCAUCUAAAGCUAAAUACUGGCUGGAGACCGAUAGCGCACAAGUAGAGUGAUCGAAAGAUGAAAAGCACUUUGGAAAGAGAGUUAAACAGUACGUGAAAUUGUUGAAAGGGAAGCGCUGGCAACCAGACCUGCCCGUAGGCGAUCAGUCACUGUUCUCAGUGGUGCACUCGCUCUGCGAUCAGGCCAGCAUCGGUUUCGGCGGUCGGAUAAAGGCCUUGGGAAUGUAGCUUCCUUUCGGGGGAGUCUUAUAGCCCUCGGUGCAAUGCGGCCAGCCGGGACCGAGGACCGCGCUUCGGCUAGGAUGCUGGCGUAAUGGUUGUCAGCGACCCGUCUUGAAACACGGACCAAGGAGUCUAACAUCUAUGCGAGUGUUUGGGUGUCAAACCCAUGCGCGGAAUGAAAGUGAACGGAGGUGAGAACCCUUAAGGGCGCAUCAUCGACCGAUCCAGAUGUCUUCGGAUGGAUUUGAGUAUGAGCAUAGCUGUUGGGACCCGAAAGAUGGUGAACUAUGCCUGAAUAGGGUGAAGCCAGAGGAAACUCUGGUGGAGGCUCGCAGCGGUUCUGACGUGCAAAUCGAUCGUCAAAUUUGGGUAUAGGGGCGAAAGACUAAUCG
RNAcentral lists this ribosomal RNA (851 nucleotides) under Parmotrema pseudoreticulatum. Its description in RNAcentral is "eukaryotic LSU rRNA". It matches the Rfam family "Eukaryotic large subunit ribosomal RNA", at positions 71 to 937 of the family's 3401-position model. The record is from RNAcentral. Lineage: Eukaryota; Fungi; Ascomycota; Lecanoromycetes; Lecanorales; Parmeliaceae.